Molecule: long non-coding RNA, 752 nt
Filed under: Homo sapiens (human)
Lineage: Eukaryota; Metazoa; Chordata; Mammalia; Primates; Hominidae
Description: long independently transcribed non-coding RNA 1991 (LINC01991)
Source: RNAcentral
GUGGUCUCUCCUCUUCCCAUACACACCUUACGGAUUCUUCACAGGGUGUGAUGAUGGGAAGCCUAGACACGCUUAUCAGAAGUUUGUCCUCUUAUCGGGAUACGUCAGAAAUUAGAGAGACCCUGGCAAUCACAGCUUCCACCUCCUCAUUUUACAAAUGAGCAACUAGGCUCAGAGUACAGAAGUGGCUUUCCCAGGGUCACACAGCCAGCUUGUGACAGAGUCAGGAUUCAAGUACCAUCUCCUGACUUCUCCAUUGCACCAGACGUCGAUAGAACACAGAGAACCUAAAAGAAGAAAGAAAAAAAAAUAGAGCUUUUGGGAAUAUAUUGGGCUUCUGGUUUUCAAGGACAAUUUUAUGAUAAGUAGCAAUGAUGCCUCAAAAGCUCUGGUAGCUAGCUUGAAUGAACUUAUGUAAUAAACAUUUAUCACAGAACAUGUGUCAUCAAACACCUGCCAGUUCUGAGCGUUGGCACCAAAGCUGCUUUCAUUGUCAAAGAAAAGAGGGGGAAAGGAACUUGGCUGAACAAAGCUGGCAGACGUUUAUACUAGAAAAUUUAGAGAUGUCAGGAGCAAGGGAGCACCAGUGGUAGAAGAACCUGCCUCCCCUGGCUCCAUCAAAGGCCACAGGCCCAUGAGAAUCACCCGGCCUGCUCUGAGCAGCACACUCGGAGGCCACAGCCACGCACAGGAAAGUGAGAGGAAGUGGAAACGUGCGAGCAGAGGGCUCAAAGCGACGGGCUCACCACCGG